GAUGAACGCUGGCGGCGUGCCUAAUACAUGCAAGUCGAGCGAACAGACGAGGAGCUUGCUCCUCUGACGUUAGCGGCGGACGGGUGAGUAACACGUGGAUAACCUACCUAUAAGACUGGGAUAACUUCGGGAAACCGGAGCUAAUACCGGAUAAUAUAUUGAACCGCAUGGUUCAAUAGUGAAAGACGGUUUUGCUGUCAUUUAUAGAUGGAUCCGCGCCGCAUUAGCUAGUUGGUAAGGUAACGGCUUACCAAGGCGACGAUGCGUAGCCGACCUGAGAGGGUGAUCGGCCACACUGGAACUGAGACACGGUCCAGACUCCUACGGGAGGCAGCAGUAGGGAAUCUUCCGCAAAGGGCGAAAGCCUGACGGAGCAACGCCGCGUGAGUGAUGAAGGUCUUCGGAUCGUAAAACUCUGUUAUUAGGGAAGAACAAAUGUGUAAGUAACUAUGCACGUCUUGACGGUACCUAAUCAGAAAGCCACGGCUAACUACGUG
RNAcentral lists this ribosomal RNA (497 nucleotides) under uncultured bacterium. Its description in RNAcentral is "partial 16S ribosomal RNA". It matches the Rfam family "Bacterial small subunit ribosomal RNA", at positions 28 to 507 of the family's 1533-position model. The record is from RNAcentral.